GGAGGAGUCUCUGAGGGUAGUGGGCGGGGCUGGUCAGGCGCCGAGGCGGGGUUUCCAGAGCUUCUGUGGAAGGACGGGCCAAUGGCGCGGAGCGAGGCGCGCGGAGGCGGAGCGUCGGGGCUCGGCGGGGCGCUGAAGUUGCGCGAGGGAGCGCGCUCUUGAGAUGCAGAUGCUGUUUCACGAGCCCUUUGGAAAUUGACCCUGCAAUCAUCAGGGCUGCUGAGGAUGAAACAGAACACUUUUAAGAUGUUUUUAUAUCCCAAGCAAUUGUGGAAGACCAUUUGGACAUAAUGACCAGACUGUAGGUUGAGAGCUGCACUCCAAACAUUGGCAGGGCUGGAUCCUAUUCUGGGGAGGGGUUUCAAGACUUUUAAGUGUUGAGCACUUAAUAAGCCUAUUUUGUCUAUUAAAACUCACUAAGAUCUCAAC
This is a long non-coding RNA of Candoia aspera, 429 nucleotides long. RefSeq lists it as uncharacterized. The record is from RefSeq and is a predicted model, not a curated record. The transcript is spliced from 3 exons. Lineage: Eukaryota; Metazoa; Chordata; Lepidosauria; Squamata; Candoiidae.